Chlorocebus sabaeus (green monkey) is the source of this 884-nucleotide long non-coding RNA. RefSeq lists it as uncharacterized. Lineage: Eukaryota; Metazoa; Chordata; Mammalia; Primates; Cercopithecidae. The record is from RefSeq and is a predicted model, not a curated record.
GAAGUCUACAAGUCAGAAACUCCAAUAGUCAAUGACAAAUAAAAGCUCAAAAAAAACCUGACUCUGUAGCCAAAGGAUUGAGAAAAAAUUGUCCUAACAAAACAGGAAGCAGGCUAUGGCUUUUGCUGGGAAUACAAACAGCCAAGACCUGUGGAAUUUCCAUAUGCAGGGACUUCCAAGUGUAAAGUGCUUAUUUUAGGACCUGCAGUGGGAAGGAGACAUGCAGGUUAAUUUUUUUCUGCCACAUUGAUCCUACACAUUUCUGAGAGACAGAGCAAAAGUUGUGAAGGGGGAUCCAAAGUGUCAGGAAUCAAAAGCUUACAUGGAUCAAUGGUAAGCUAAUCUUGCCAUUCUCUUUGUCCUUCGCCUGCCAGAAUGUUUGGAGUCUCUCAAAUUAAAUCCAGUUACUCUGUAGCAGGUCCAGCCUUGUCAAUGCCAAUAAACAUGGUCCAACAAAAAGCAAGUAAGUAAUACAAUCAGUCUAAAGAAGAAAACUGGCAGGUCUGCCACGCAUUUUAUGCUGACCACUGCCCUUCUACUCAUCUAGACUAAAGUCACAUGAACUACUUCGGCAUUUAUGUCAAAAUAUUAAGUCAUUGAUGUUUGUGUCAACUGAAGUUGAAGUCCCUAAGAAUUUUUGUUUUAAUAUAAUCUGCUGUUAUGGCCAUUUGGUUCUUUGAAAUUAAUUUCAUGGCUUUCACUUGCAGUUAUUAGAGGUCACUUGUCAGAUGUGGUCUAUUUUUCUAGUCUGUCAAAAUCAUCUUUGUAUCACAAUUUUGUGCUCUAAUAUUUCAUGUUAGCAAAAAUGUAAUAUCUGUAUGCUAUCUAUGUGCUAAAAUUAAGCCAAUGAUAAAUAUACCCAAUAAACAAAGGUCAAGUUUAAA